UUGGAAAGAAUGGCCUCCCUGCUUCCGGCAGUUUCUUUUGAGCUGGUUCCCAGACUGAGCUAGAUUCUGACUUGUUGAUGUUCAACUGGGUUCCAGAGCACUCAGGUUUGGAGAAUUCCACCAAGAUUUGUACUUGGUGAUGACCUGGGGGGUAAAAUAGGGCUGUGUUUUCUUCUAAGGAAGAUCUUUCCCUCCACUUCACAGGCUUCUUGGGUCCUUCUUUCCUGUGAAUCGGAAUUUAUCCCAGGGGCAUGCUUCCACUUCCUGAUCAUUGCAAGGUGAAGUAGGUUUUCUUUUUCUUUAUUUUUUUUUCUGGUUAGGUGGUUUUGAUUUCAAAAGCAAUCUCCUCUGACAACUUUUCAUUAGCUGUUGAACAAAUGUGGCAGAUAUAAGUUAGAGCCAUGUGUUUGGCAACUCCAGGCUGGGGCCUGAAUUUCUCCUGGCUGUGGCCUCUGGUUUUAUUCCACUCAUCCAGCAGGUGGCACUAAAGACCCACUGACUCCACAGUCUCCAGCGUGUCCUAUGGGGAAAUUCAGGCCAGCUCAAGUUUACUUCCCGGUUUAGUCAGUUUCUUGCUAGUUGACAGACUCACCUGUGCAUUCUUAGUAUUUAUUCCAGAUUUUAUACCUAAGUGUUCUCAGAAAAGGUUACUGUAAGAUCUUAGGUAAGGGACAUCAGAUACCCUGCCUCCAAUACCUACCUUCAAUUCUGACUUCAAAGUGUGUGCAGAUGCAAAGAAUGGUAAACGUAAUGCUCUGUAUUCCUCUACCACAUUAUAUGCUAGGUGCUUGUUCUAAUGAAGCAGGUUUCACAGAGGCUUGGGGAAGGCCAGAUAGCUAGCCCAAGGUCACAAAGGUAGGAUAGGAUGGAACUCAAGUUUUCUGAUGCCAAGUUUUUGGGCUUGUGUAUUUGUGCUACCAAAGUGGGAAACAUUUAGAUUUAGCAGAAGUCUAGGACUUUCACACAAAGCAAAAGGACUUCUUUGUAGAUUUGGUCUUUAUUCAUUCAUUUAUUUCUGAACUUCUGCUAUAUACUGUGUACUCAGGGUGAAGAGGCAGAGGCCCCACCUAGUUCUUGCUUUUAGGGAGUUCAGACUCUAGAGGGGGAGGUGAUAGCACACACAAAGGCCCUUAAAAUACUGUGGAAGGACCAUGAUAAGAGUAAACUCAGAGGAAGGGCUGGGAGGUCAAGGAGAGCCCUCAAGGGAGACAGCCUCUAAGCUAGUCCUUAAGGACUUGGUCAGGCAAGUGGUGGGGGGGACGUCACCCAGCCUGAGGGAGCAGUGUAUACAAAGACCUCAGGUAUGAGAAGACUUGACGUAUUAGGGAGAACUGGCAAGGUACAGAGUGGGGAAAUGAAGUCCCGUAAACAAGGCACCUUGAACGUUAUGCCAACAGCUUGAAGGUUUCUUAAUAGGAAGGCAACACAGACACAUUUUCACUUCAAGAAGAUUCUUCUAGUUUCUGGUGGGGAGAAGUGGUAGGAGGCUGAAGGCAGGGAGGCCAGGCUGGUGGGGGCUGUCAGUUGUCCAGCAAGAGAGGACAGUGAUGGAGGUGGAGGGUGGUGGGCUGGUUGGGACUCCGUAGAGAAGGUAGGGCUGACAGGAGUGGGAAUGGAUUGCUGGUGAGAGUGGGGCAAGGGGAGGAGCCUCUGGGAUGACCUCAAGACCCUGGCUCCUGCAGCCAGAUGGAUGGAACAAUCUGUUAAGUGUGAGUGAUCUUCAUCAUUCAAAAGCACUUCUACAGCCAUUAUUUCAAGAAGACAGUGUUCCACAUUUCAGACGCACAUCUGUGUUCUCAGAGUUUGGGGUCUCCCAGGACUUUGUAGCCCUGCACCCUAAGAUGUGAAUGUUAUGCCUCCAGAGAACCCUCUGCUUGCCCUGUGCUCUCUUUUCUCUUAGAGCAGACACUCAGGAUGGUGCCUUCCUUGCACAGGGUGCCUGCAGUGGACACCCCAGGUGCCUCCUUUACACCCUUUCUCCUUUUUUUGGUGACUAGACCUUACCCAUAAAGCCUGUGGGCUUUGGGAAAAGCUCAUCCCAUCCCCCGAUAUAAGAGCCGGGCAUAGUUUCAGGCCUAACAUAGUGCUUAUAAUUGCAUUCUUUGGCCAUUAUAUCUGUUUCCUAGGCUUGCCAAAGCAAAUUACCAAAAAGUUAGUGGCUUAAGACUGCAGAAAUAUGUUCAUCGUCAGUGCUGGAGGCGGGGGCCAGAAGUCUGAAAUUAGGGUGUCAGCUGACUUUUCUCAAGUCUGUGUCUUGUCUGUCUAUCUUCUGGUGACGGUCAUCAUUCCUUGGCUUGUGGCUGGCUGCUCUUUCCGGUCAUUGCCAGUGUUCACAUGGCUUUCCACUUUCUUAUAAGAAUGCUUGGGAUUAGAUUUAGAACUCACUAGAUUAAUCUAAGAUAGACUUUUCUCAAGAGCCUUAAUGGCAUUUCAAAAAAGGUCACACUCACUGGUUCCAGAGGUGGGAAGGUAGCAUAAUGUUGCCUCUAAAUGGCAGAACAACAAAAUUGUAACCAGGAUGAUGUUGUUGAGCCCCAGUCCAGAGGAUGGCCUGCUCCUAGGCUUUCUGUGACAGAAGUCAGCAAACCCUCUUUAUUGCUUUAAUCCAAUUUGACACAGUUUGACCCCUGCCCACCCCAUCGCUAGCUGCUGAAGGUGCCCUAAUUGACACACAGUGUCCAUCUGGAGUCCUGUCUAAAGGCUGUUGAGUGUGGUAGAGAGAUGGUGGCAAAAGCCCGGAAGCCUUGGGCUCUACGUUGGUACUCUGAGUGACCUUGGGCAAGCCACCACUUUGCUGACCAUCAGUUUGAAUAUAAAUGGGCCCUUGUCCUUGCAAAAGGCUCUUCAAAAUGGAAGUCAGUGUGGUUUCUUUUGUUAUGGCCUCUGCAUUCCAAGAAAGACGUAAUAGAACUGGAAAAGGGCCAGACGCUGGAGUGAUGAAGGGCUUUGACCAUGAGGGCAGGAGCUCCAGAUAGAAUUGUGCAGGCUGAGGAGGGAAUGUAAUCCAAGUCCUCUGUAUGCUAACGCACCCUGGCAAGGCGGAACAGGCCUUGUUCACCAGAUUCCAGGGUCCUUAGAAGCUCAGAGAGGUACUUCUAAAAGUUUGAGAAGUUGUUUUAGGGCAAACAAUAGAAAGCGCUGUUUUACAGGGUGGAGAGGUGAACUUGAGGUGUACUUCCCGCUCCAGCCUCGUGAUCGUGAGCAAACCUUUUCACCGAGUCUGAGAUUGCUCAUUAGUAGUUUUGGGGGUUAUAAAUCUGUUAGUCAACCAGCAGGGAAUUUAUGCAGACUAACCACUGCUCUACCCACCCACCAGCACGGGCACCCCUCUGACUCCAUUUCCUGCUUUUUACUAUAGACGAUUUACUGCAGACGGGUGAAUGCAUGAGGUCUCAUUUUCUGUCCUUGCUCCAGGACUGCUCAAGUGACUCUCCUGUCUCCUGCAUCACCUAUUACCCGCUCUCUACCAGAUAGUGCUCAGGUGUUUAUCUUAGUUACUUAUGUUAUUUCGUGCUGGGGAUUUAACCAGGGAAGCUUUACCAUUGAGCAACAUACCCAGCCCUUUUUGUGUUUUGAGAUAGAGUCUUGCUAAGUUGUUCAGGCUGUGGCCUCUAACUUCUAAUCCUCCUGCCUCAGCCUUGCAAGUCUCUGGGAUUACAGGAGUGUGCCACUUCCCCCAGCCUCUGAAAUGUUUCAAAAAUGCUAUCAUUUUUCCCAUCUUAAAAUAAUUUUCCCUUAAUUCUACUUUCCCCUCUAGCUACUGCCCCACUUUCUCAGCAAAACUCCUUGAAAGAAUCAUCUGUACUCAUUGUCUUUUCUAGCUCAGUGAAUUUUUUUUUUUUUUUUUUUGCUUAGUGAAUCUUCACAAAUUGAACAUACCUAUAUAACUACUACCCAGAUUUUAUAAAAGAAUAUUACCAGUACCCCAGGAACUCUACACCCCUUCAUGCCCCAAUUAACUACUAUCCUGAUUUAUUAUGCCAUACAUUUGGUUUAUGUUUUUAAUUUUACUGUAAAAUAUAUACCACAUGGGGCUGGGGUUGUAGCUCAGUGGUAGAACGCUUGCCUAGCACACAUGAGGCACUGGGUUCAAUCCUCAAUACCACAUGAAAAAAAUUAAUAAACUAAAGAUAUUGUGUCCAUCUACAACUAAAAAUAUCUUUAAAAAUGUAUAACAUAAAAUUUAUCAUUUCAACUACUUUAAAGUGUACAAUUUACUGGUGUUUUGUACAUUUACAAUGUUGUGCGACCAUUACCAUUCACAGUUUCAGAAUGUUUUCAUCACUUCAGAAGAAAAACCCAAGCCAUCCCAGGUACUCAGGAGGCUGAGUUAGGAGGAUCACAAGUUUGAGGCCAGCCUCAGCAACUAAGUGAGACCCUGUCUCAAGAUUUAAAAAAUGCUAGAAAUGUAGCACAGUGGUAGAACACUUGCCUGGCAGCUUGCAUGAAGCCCUAAGUUCAAUUUCUUAGCACUGCCCCCUACCCCUGCAAAAAAAGAGAAAGAAAACCCAUACUUAUUUGUAGCCAUUCUCCAGUCCCCAUUCUUUUCAACCUCUUGCAACCUCACUAGUCUGCUUUGAAUUUCUAUGGACUUGCCUAUUCUGGAUGUUUCAUAUAAAUGGAAUCAUGUCAUAUAUGGCCUUCUGUGUCUGGUUUCCUUCACUCAGCAUAUUUUCAAGGUUCAUCCAUGUUGUAGAAUGUAGCAGUACUCCAUGCUUUGUUAAGGCUGAAUAAUAUUCCUUGUAUGAUUGUACCAUAUUUUGUUUAACCGUUUCUCCAUCCAUGGACAUUGGAUUGUUUUGACCCUUGGCUAUUGUGAAUAGUGCUGCUAUGAAUAUUAAUGUCCAGUUUUUUUUAAUAUUUUAUUGGACACACCUUUAUUUAUUAUUUAUUUUUUUAUGUGGUGCUGAGGAUUGAACCCUGGGCCUCGCACGUGCUAGACAAGUGCUCUACUUCUGAGUCACAAUCCCAGCCCCUUAAUGUCCAGGUUUUUGUUUGAAUACUAGUUUGGUCUGUUUUUAAACUUUAAACAAGUUCUUAUAUUCUUUUUUUGUCUGACUUUAUAGUCUGCCAAUAUCAAAAUCAUUGUAUGCGACUCCUCCAUGUUGUUGCACGUAACAGUAGUUUGUUCAUUUUCGUUCAUGUCACUAUAUGACUGUGUGGCCAUUUGGCUAAUCUGGUUUUUUUUGUGUGUGUGUGGGGGGUACCAGGUAUUGAACCUGGGGGCACUUAACCAAUGAGCCACACCCCCAUUUUAUAUUUUAUUUAGAGACAGGGUCUCCCUGAGUUGCUCAGGGCCUUGCUAAGUUGUUGAGGCUGCUUUGAACUCACAGUCCUCCUUCCUCAGCCUCCUAAACUACUGGGAUUACAGAUGUGCCCCACCACACGUGGCUAAUCUACUGUUGAAGGGUUCUCUGCAGUUUGGAGUUAUGCUGCUAUGCUAAUGCUGCCGUGGAUGUUCUCCUUCGUGUCUUCUGAUGAACCCAGGUAUAGCUUGCUACUGGAGGGAUGCUACUAGGAGUGGAAUUGCUGGCCACAGAUUGUGCAUGGUACCUUUUGUAGGUACCGCUAAAGGAUUUCCCCAGGCCUUCCUAUUUUCACUCCCACAGGAGUGUGUGGAAGUCACGUUUGCUGCCCAUCUUUGCCAACACAUGGCUUUUGGUCUUUGCUUUUGAUCUUACUUUGCUGGCAUAUGGUUGUCUCCUCUGGGUUUACCUUGAUCCAGGUGCUCCCCUCAUCCAUUGCACCCUUGCUUUUGCCAGUGGUCAGCGCUCAGUCCCCAUCUCACUGACCAACCUAUAGCCAGUGGCAGAUUUGCACACCCACCUGCCUCAGCGUAGCUCCUAGGGCCCCCUCUCCUGGCCUUCCUUCUCCAUACUGGCUGCUCCUUCUCAGCCACCCCACUUCUCCAUGGUUGUUCUUUUCUGACCUCUGACUGUUAGGUGACCCUCAGGGCUCAGGACCUGAUCUCCCUUCUCUCUAACUCAUCCCUCCAGCGAUCACAAACAGCACCACGGCUUCUCGUACCAUCCCUAUACUGGGAUCACCCCAUUUAUAUAAUUGCAAACUUGACACGUCCCCUCAGAUGUUUAGUAGAUAUCUCAAAUUUGGCAGAACAACUUCUCUUUCUCCAAAACUGCUCUCUGUCUCAGUUGAUGGCAACUUUUCCAGAAAAGUCAUCCUGAGCUUCCCUUUUGUUCAUACCUCGCAGCCAAUCUCAGGAGCCUAAUUGCUCUUGUACUCCAAUGCGUCCAAAUAUGGCUGCAUCCCACUCCUGCCUUCCAUGCCAGAGCCGCCAGCAAUUUUCACCUGGAUUUUUGGAAUAACUUGCUGUCCAGUCUUCCUGCUUCUUGUCAUGAAUUUCAGCCCAGAAGCCAGGUGGUGCUUUUCGUGUUAAGGCCAUCUUCUUCCCCUGCUCACUCUACUCCAGCGGCUCCACAUUUCAGAGGAGGAACUAAGGUUUGCAAUGGCCACCAGGCCUCGUGCAGCCGCCUCCUGUAUUUAUCUCCUGCUUCUCCUUGGCUUCUUCACACCACACCCUCAGGCCUUCUCCUGUUCCAGGACCAAGCCAGGCAUGUCCCUGCCUUAGGGCCUUCAAGGUGGUUCUUCUCUUGCCUGCCUGGACACUCUUCCCCCAGGUCUUCUCAUAGCUAAAUCCCUUUCCCCCAAAGCCUCGCUCAACGGCCUUGAGGAUUUCUGCUUAGUAUCUGUGAUCUUGAAAACUGGCUUGUGGUCUACAUGAGGCUCCAGUGUUUUUCUUUCCUUCACUUUCAAAGUCUGACAGGGGCCAUUUUCCUCAUGUUUUUUGAGGAUGUGCAUUUAUUUCUGACCUGCCAUUGAAGAUGUGUCCUGACUCUGUUGGCGGGUUCUCCUGGUGGGUUCUCCAUCUUGGUGGGGCUUGGGUUCAUCUCUCCCAUGCGCUGGGAGGCCUCAGAUGCUGAAGUUCGAGAUCACUUGGCCGUGGUGCAUUUCUUUGGGGAGAAAGCCAGCUUCCACAUCCUCCCCGAGUUCCCUUCUUUUUUUGGCCUGUGACUAUUCUUUUCUUUUUUUUUAAAUACCUUUAUUUUAUUUUUAUGUGGUGUUGGGGAUCAAACUCAGUGCUUCAUGCAUGCUAGGCAAGCUCUCUGCCACUGAGCCACAAUUCCAGCCCCUGCGACUAUUCUUAACCCUUCUGUCAGCUCAUUUGCUGCUGUGAAGGAUUAGAAACUUUUCAUCCAGCAUUUUUAAUGUUUUCAGCAGGAAGCAGAUCAGAGUGUCCAGUUUGUUCUGUUGUCAGAAACAGGAGUCCGUUGACUGUGUGCUGGAGGAAGGAAGUGUGUGACUGGAGAGGUGGACAGGUCCAGGACGACUCAGCCCCAAUCCCAGCUCUGCCUUCACCAACUGUGGUCUUAGGAAAGUCCCUGUCCCCUCUGGGCUUCAGCUGCCUACUUGGUAAAAUGAGGGCUGGGGGGUAGGGUGGCCUCAACGAGGCUGUGAUUCCUGGCUGUGGGUUUUCUGUGUCUCUGUCUUGAGGGAGUUUAUGCAUGUGUGAGGAAAAACUCUCAGUUCAGGUGGCCUUUCGGGUAUUCUCAGUGACCUGCCAGGCCCUGCGUCUGGUUCAGAAGAGAUGGCAGCUGGGCACCAUGGCACACACCUGAAAUCCCAGUGACUCAGAAGCUGAAGCAGGAGGAUCACAAGUCCAAGGCCAGCCUCAGCAACUUAUCAAAGCCCUGUCUCAAAAUAAGAAAGAAAAGAAGAGCAGAUUUAGAAUGUCAGAGGUAAAAAAUAUAAAAUAAGGAACAAUUGAUUCCCAAAGAUCUGAGAGAGGAAGCCAGGUGUGGUGGUACAUACCUGUAAUCCCAGAGAUUUGAGAAGCUGAAACGGGAGGAUGACAAGUUCAAGGCCAGCCUGGGCAACUUAUCAAAGCCCUGUUUCAAAAAAUAAAAAGGGCUGGGGUGGAACUCAGUGGUGGAGGGCUCCUGGGUUCAAUACUUUUUACUGCAAAACAAAACAAAACUAAAUACAACUGGGGUGAGAGGGACAUAGAGAAAAGAGAUGUGACACAUGACACGAGGGUCCCUGUUUUGGGUUGAUACUUGGGAACAGGAGUUUGGACACAGUGAGUUUGUGUGGGGUAAGGAUCUUCCACUAAAUCUCUGGAAAGGAGGAUCCUAAAGAUAGAAAUCAUUGCCUUCCUCCUUCCUUUCUUUAGUCUCCUUUGUUUGAAAAAUAUAUGUGUGUCUACACAAUUUUAAUAGAUUUUAUUAAGUAGAUGCACAGCAAUGUGAAAUGUACUCACUGUCACUGAAAUGUGAGAUUAAAAAUAGUACCAUGGUAAAUCUUAUGUCAUGACUGUUUUGCCACAGUAUAAAAAAAAUCAAACAAAACAGAAACAACUGAGAAAAAUCUGAGAAACCGCCACAGUUUCCAUAUAUGCCUCACCAGGUUCCCUAUAUAUGGGGCCAGUGUAACGAAGAAUAAUAAAAAUGAAUCCCCAUGCACAGAACUCAACUUAACCCAGAUAAUGUUUAUCAUCCUAGAAACCCACAUGCUCCCUCCAAUGUCUCUUUCCCCUCACCCCUUGCAGAUAACCACUAUCCCAAAUGCUGUGUCAUUUUCUUGCCUUUCUUUAGAGUUUUAUCGCAUAGGCUUAUAUCCCAGAUGUCAGAAUGUUAUUCAGUCUGGAGAGUUUGGGUGCUUCUAUUGAAGGAAAUCACAUUGCAUAUAUCAGGUCAUAAUUUGCUUUUUUUCCCACCAACAUUGUGUUUGUGGGAUUCCUUCAUGCAACUGUAGUUCUUUCACUUUUAUGGCUGCAGACUAAGGUCUGGAUACAACAUACAUUUUCUAAUCCAGUCUCAUGUCUAUGGGUGUUUGAGCUGUUUGUGGUUUUUAUUUUUAUGAGCUGUCUGAGCCUAUGUUGUAGGAGAGCUUCUCUAGGUACAUUAUGGAGAGUAGAAUUAGUGCCUCAUAGAGUGUGUGUACUUGAUAAUGCCCACUGUUUUCCAAAGGUGUGGGGCAUCUGCACUCCCACCAGCAGUGUAUGGGACGUCCAGUACUCCAUCUCUUCAGAGCUCUCUGGUGCUGGCCUGUGUCCCACCUCAGUUGUGUGUGUCCAUAUCUCAGAGGCCCUUGGCCAUACUCAGGCCUCACUUGGCCUCUGUCUCGAGUACCUCUGGUUUGUUUAGCCAGCCCAACACCAACCCCUGGCUGACCCGAACUUCCUGCUUUCCUGAGAGUUUGAGCCCUUGAUUGGAUUGUUGGCUGAGGCUCUGGGUCCAGGCACAGAGCUCCAGCCAUGGCUCUGAAUUCUGGGUUCCAGGAGGGCCCUGUAGACCCGAGGGGGUCAAGGAGGUUAGACGUCAUUUUCUCAUGCUAAGCCAGGUAGCAUUGGAAUUUUCCACCAUAGAGGAGAUGUGUUGUCCGUCUUCUCCUCUGGCUCUUCCCACCCUGCUGAUAGGAAUCCUUAAGAGAGAUUUAACAACUUUUCUUGAGGCCUUUUGGCAGGUUAGCACCGGCACUGUCAGUGCUGGCAGGAGGACAUGACAUCUGUGCUGGCCCUAGGCCAGGCCACAUGGACGUCUCUGUGCGUGAUGCCAGCUCAUCCUGGCCAGGGCCUCAGGUGUGCUGGUGUACAGAUCCAGGGCCUGCCCGGCUCAGGACAGCCCCAGAGCCCACCUCCUAUUGUCUUCAUCUUCCUGCCAGACAUUCCUUUUUAGAUCUUGGCUACCCUCUGUCCCAAGCUCAGAGUUUCUGGGUUUUUCCUCAUGGUAAUCAGGACAGCAGUAUGGCUACCCACACAGACCAGUGGCUACAACACCAACCCACCUGGCUUAGAAUCUCAGUUCUACCUCUUUCUGCCUUAGGCAUCUAGUGUGACUUGAUAGCUUAGCUGCUAUGUCCUUGUGGGCCUUAUAUACAUGCACUGGGUUAUUAAAUGAGAAAAUGGGUAUAAAGUGUUAGUAUUCUUUCUGAUACAUGUAGGACAUCAAGAAAUGUUUUGCAUAGUUACGGUGAUGUGGAAAGAACUGAGCUUAGAGCUGGGAAGACCUGGUUUUCAAUCAUGCUACUGCCACCUCUUAGUUGUGUCUUGCAAUCUGUCUAAGCCUCCGUUUUCCCUGUUUGCCAAAUGGCAGUAAGGAUUUCUACUUCAUUUGGUUGUAAAAGACAAAAAGUGGUUUGCUUGAUAAAUAUUAGUGACUAUUUCUAUAUGAGAUGCAGGGGCUUUAUUUCCUAAAAAAGGAUAGAGACAAAGUGAUAUAAAAAAAGAAUCAAUUUCUUGGGAUAGCCCAGACUUCAUAGUUUAAAGUACAUGGACAUUGUUUUAAAAAGAGAAUAUAUUAUAAACACUUUGGAAAAGAAAAAGGAAGAUAAAAUGAAACCCCCUCACAAUCCCACCAUCUAAACACGAGCACCCCGCCUGUUGGUAUCCUUCCCAGGUUUUUCACGUGUAUUUUAUUAAGAGAUCAUAAUUAUAGGAUACAUGCAGUUUUGUAUUCUUUCUCUAGUACUAAAUGCUGUAUCAUAAACAUUUUCUCAUGUUUCUACGUGCUAUUUGUAAUUGUAAUCUUUUAUGGCUGCAUACUGUUCUUAAUUAAGAUCUUUAUGCAUAAAGUUCUCCACUAUUUCACAUUUUUUUUCCCCCCUGAGGAUUCCAGAAGUCAAAUUGCUGGGUCAAAUUACUUUUUAUAGCUUCAGAAUCAUAUAGGCAAAUUGCUUUUCAAAAAGGUGGUAUCCAUUUAUAAUGCAUUCAGGCCCAAUAUUGCUCAUUCAGUGGCAACUUCAUUGAUAUCGGGUAUUACAGACACCAUUUUCUUUGGGUUGAUUUAUGAGCAUUGUCUCAUCUUCAUCAGAGCAGUUGCCAGUCAGAAGAAGUAAAGAGGAGUUAAGAAACCACAAGAAACUUUAUUGAUGCAGACUCAUGGAGUUCAAAGAGACCUUGAGCAAUGCAUUUCCUUCUUAUUUUCUCUGAUUUUACUUGCUGCAUUUGGAUUAUAAAGACAUAUAUAAUAAUAUAUAUAUGUAAUACUAUAAUAAUAUAGUCUAUUAUUUAUUUUUUAUUUUUUUGGAUACCAGGGAUUGAACUCAGGGGCACUUGACCACUGAGCCACAUCCCUAGCCCCAUUUUGUGUUUUAUUUAGAGACAAGGUUUCACUGAAUUGCUUAGUGCCUUGGUUUUGCUGAGGCUAGCUUUGAAUGCCCCAUCUUCCUACUUCAGCCUCCUGAGCCACUGAGAUUACAGGCGUGAGCCAGCCACUGUUCCUGGCUUCAAUCUUGUUUUAAAAGAAAGUUUUUCUUAAAAGAAAGGCUGAAAAAAAAUCUUUCAAAGCCACUUGCAUUUUGUUUACCCUGAGCUGAACAAGACAUCAUUUGUAAUUGCUGAAAGAUACUCUGUAGAGAGGACUUACCACAGUGUAUCUUGCCAUUCUUUUAUGUUCUUUCUAAAUUUUCCUUAUUAUUAAUAAUACUAUAGUGAACAUCUUUUUGCAUAAACCUCUAAUUUUUUUGGAUUGGUUGCUUAGAAACAAUUCUUGGAAAUGAAAUUUAUGGAUCAAAGGGCAUUCAUAUUUUACUUUAUUUAUUUUGGCAUUUUAAAGACAGGGUGCCAAAUUGCUCUAAGGCUUAUGCUAGUUUAUGACCCCACCAACAAUGUAGAAAUGUGUUCAAUUCACUUUCCAUUGCCAGCAGUGGCUUCCCAUAUUUAAAAAAAAAAAAAAAUCUCCCAGUAUGCAGCUUCUGUAGAUUUAUGUCGUGCUCUAAUCCAGUGUUAAUCUAACCUUAAAAGCUAGGAGACUUUUCCCCCUUUGAGUUGCAAACCAAAUCCUUCCUGUCAAUUUGAGGCUUGGCUUUAUUCUGUAAGGACUUAGAGUUCUGCAUUGGAGAUGUCAACUUCUAUUUUCCUUUCUUUGUAAAACCUCAUGGCCAAGUUUGCAUGAAUUGGUAUAGAAGAAAAACAUUGCCAUUGUUCCAAGAAGUGCUUCAGUAUUUCUCUGCUGGAUUAUGGGUUGGAAGAGUUAUCCAUGGCCAUGGAAGGGAGGGGCAGCUCAGGUGUUGGGCUCUGCCAUCUGAUUCACUGACUGGGAUGUGACAAAAUCAGUGAGGGUGGCCUUGGGGAAGAGUUCUGUGUGUUGGGCUGUGUCAGAACAGGUACUACCUGGAAGAGUAGAUAUUUUGUCUCUCAACAUCUCUUUUCUUUUUCUGGUAAUCAAGGGUUCUCUCUCUCUCUCUCUCUCUCUCUCCAACUACUGUAUCCUGAUCUAACCCUGGCCUUUCCUUUUUGGCUAGAAAUCCCUUUUCCUCUUGGCUAGAAUGAUUGACUCAUGAGUGGGCACUUGACUCAAGAAUGACCAGCCCAGUCCUUCAUGGGAUUUGACCUAGGAAUGCUGACAUACACUAUAUUCCCAUGAAGCUUGGUAAACCGGGAUGAUUUAGGUUGAAGGCUGUGGUACUUCUCUAGUCCCAUCAUGUGGAAAAAGUGACUUGCACCUGCAAUUGAAGCCUGGGACUAUGAAACUAAGGAAAAGCAAACAAAGAUGUGGCAGGGGAGGUGGAAAGGGAUGGUCUCCAUGCCAAGCCAUGAAUGCUGGUCUGGAUUGGAUUUCAUUUUGCCUUUACAAUGGAAAAAUUCUAGUGCACCUGGAGGGGCCAGAGAGCUUAUAUGUAAGAGAUAAGCACAGAAGGUUCUAGAAAGAGGGAGCCAAGGGUUUGUAUUAGAGGAAAAUAUCGGUUGUCAGAUUCAAACAUUGCAGGUAUUUGAGACGAUAGGCUGGAGCAAGGUAAGAAUCGGUUGCUGGGAAUAUGAGGAGCAUGUCGGGAAGUACAAAGCUAAAGAAGAGAAGGGCGUUUGCUGCAUUUAUCUGGGUACGUGGUGAUCUUGAGCCACACUGGCGGUGGGAUGGAGAGGGAGCGAUGGUUGCAGGAGAAUUGCAGAGGAAGAAUUCUUAGGGCUUAGUGACCUGUUGGCUAACUGUGUUCCUCUGCUCAUGUUGCCAUAACAAAAUACCACAGAUGGGGGCCUGAACAGCAGAAAUUUGGUUUCUCACAGUUCUGGAGGCUGGGACGUUCAAGAUGAAGGUGCCGGCAGGGUGGGUUUCGGAUGAGGCCUUUCCGUUCAUCUUGCAGAUGGUGCUUUCUCAUCCUUACAUGGCCUUUUUCCACCUCUGGUCAUGUGGGAGAGCAAUCUCUGGUGUUUCUUUCUAGUUCCAUGGUAGACACCAGGCCUGUGAAGCUAGGACCCCAUCUUUUUUUUUUUUUUUUUGAAAGAGAGAGAGAGAGAGAGAGAGAGAGAGAGAGAGAGAGAAUUUUUUAAUAUUUAUUUUUUAGUUUUCAGUGGACACAACAUCUUUAUUUUAUUUUUAUGUGGUGCUGAGGAUAGAACCCAGUGCCUCACACAUGUGAGGCAGGCACUCUACCACUGAGCUAUAGCCCCAGCUCUAAAUAUAUUCUUUUUAAAAAAAGUUUUUAGUUGUAGAUGGACACAAUACUGCCGCAGUCUGGCUGGGCACAAAUCACGAGCCACUCAAGAGGAACAAACUUUAUUUCUGAACUCCACCAGCACACUCCACACACGCUCCCCAGGAACUCUCCCGAACGCCAUGCGGCUCCUCCAGGAACCACCAACUAGAAAUCCCUCCUCUGGCACUUCCCCAACCAAUGUGAACUCUUCAGGAAUCCCCGCGAGAGCUCCUUGAGAACUCAAAAGUCAUCAUCUUAAUGGCUCGCUGGUGUCACCUCUCAAACACUACUUCUGGCAAAAAUGCCAUGCGUCAUCCCGACUCUGCUGUGGCCCUCAACACAAUACCUUUAUUUUAUUUAUUUAUUUUUAUGUGGUGCUGUGGAUUGAACCCAGGGCCUCGCAGGUGCUGGGUGAGCGUUCUACCACUGAGACAAACCCCAGCUCCUAAAUAAAUAUAUUCUUUAUAAUAUAAAAUAUAUUAUAAGCAUUUUCUCAUACUGCUAUAGUUUUCAUAGCUACCAUUUUUAAAGUAUUUUUUUAGUUGUUGAUGGACCUUUAUUUUUUAUUUAUUUAUAUGUGGUACUGAGAAUUGAACCCAGUGCCUCACACAUGCCAGGCAAGUGCUCUGCCCCUGAGCCACAACCCUAGCCCUUCAUAACUACCAUUUUUUAAAAAAAAAAUUUUUUGGUUGUUGAUGGACCUUUAUUUUUUUAAAAUUUAUUUUAUGUGGUGCUGAGAAUUGAACCCAGGACCUCACAUGUGCAAGGCAAGUGCUCUACCGCUGAGCCACAACCCCAGCCCCAUAACUAGUCUUUUCAAAGGCUGCAGUGCACUCCUGAUUCUAUUCUAGUAUUGCUCGUCUUUCUCUUACCUAGUUGUCAUUGGCUAGCCAACGAGUCAGUCGUAAGCCCCAUCCACCUUCCUUCGUUCCUUGUCACUGCAUCUUCCCCCCCCCCCAGCCACCUAUCUUAAGAUCAGGUCAUUGUGUGAUGGGGGCUUCCUCACUGGCCAACUGUCUCCUGCCACUAGUAGUACCCACUGCAUUCACCUGACACAGAGGAGACAAUGAAAUUUAAGGCUGUGUUUUUUAAUGGUACUCAUUCACUCUUAACAUUGACAGGCUCUAAAGUCACACUCUUCAGCUAGGCACUGGAAGUCUUCCACAGUCCAGCAUUAACGCAGCUUAUUUACUCCCACCCUUCCACCUCACUCUGUUUCUCUCUUCUAUCCUUUCUUCCUCCCUCCCUCCUUCCUUUCCAUCCUGUCUUCCUUCCUUCUCUCAGUACUAGGGACUGAACUCAGGGGCUGAGCUAUAUCCUCAGCCCUUUUUAUUCUUUGAGACAAGGUCUCACUAAGUUGCCAAGGCUGAUCAUGAACUUGGGAUCCUCCUGCCUCAGCCUCCUGAGCUGCUCAGAUUACAGUUGUGUGCCAUGGCUCCUGGCUAUGAUUAUCUUUUAGAAAAAUUAUUUAUUUGGGGAUGGGGUUGUAGCUCAGUGGUAGAGUGCCUGCCUCGCAUGUGUGAGGCACUGGGUUUGAACCUUAGCACCACAUAAAAAUAAAUAAAUAAGCUGGGUGCAGUGGUGAACUCCUGUAAUCCCAGUGGCUUGGGAGGCUGAAGCAGGAGGAUUGCGAGUUCAAAGCCAGCUCAGCAACAGUGAGGUGCUAAGCAACUCAGACCCUGUCUCCAAAUAAAAAAUAUAAAAUAGGGCUGGGGAUGUGGCUCAGUAGUCGGGUGCCCCUGAGUUUAAUCCCUGGAAUUCCCCUCCGCAAAAAAAAAAUAAAAAAAAAAGAACUAAUAGAUGAUGUUUAAAAAAUGUUUAUUUAAUUUGGUGCUAUUUAUAUAAAUUCAGUGAUUUUUGUAUAUUGAUUUUUUUUAUUAAGUAAUAUACAAUAAAACUAAUAAUUUCUCCAUAGAUUUUUGUGUUUUCUAUGAAGCCAAUAUUAUAUAUGAGUAAUGAAUGUUUAUUUCAUUUUUCUAAUUCUUAUACCUUUGUUUCUCUCACCUAAUAUAAUGUUGAAUACAAAGGCUAUAGUGGGAAUUAUUUUCUUUGGUCUGAAAGGGAAAAUAUUCAACUCUUCACCAUGAACUGGAAUUAUUGCUGCUGAUAUACAGUUUAGGAGGUAAGAGAUUCUAUUUUAGCUUCCUAAGGAUUUGUUUUUAUAUUUCUAUUUGUUAUAAAUGGAUAGUAAAAUUUAUUUUAAAAAUUUUUGUUUACUAAGAUAUGGUAUCUCUCCUUUAAUCUGUUAAAGUAAUAAAUUAGUGUUUUUCUUUUUCUUUUUCUUUUUUUCCCCAGUACUGAGAAUCUAGCCCAUGGAUGCUUUAUCUCUGAGCUACAUCGCUGGCCCUUUUCAGUUUUUGAGACAGGGUCUUACUAAGUUGCUGAGGCUGUCUUCAAACUUGGAAAUAAGCACAUAAAAAGAUGCUCAGGACUGGGGAUGUGGUUCAGUAGUAGAGCAUGUGCUUAGCAUGCAAGAGGUCCUGGGUUCCAUCUCUAGCACACGCACGCGCGCGCGCGCACGCACACACACACACACACACACACACACACAAAAGCUGUUAACAUCAUUGGUUAUCAGAGAAAUUCAAAUAGAACCACAAUGAGCAGCAUUAUACAUUCACUAGAAUGGCUCAGAUUUAAAAACUGGCUAGGCACAUUGGCUCAUGCCUGUAAUCCUAGUGGCUUGGGAGGCUGAGGCAGGCAGAUCACAAGUUCAAAGCCAGCCUCAGCACAAAAAGAGAAGCUUCAGCCUCCUGCAUUGCUGGGAUUACAGGCAUGCACCACUGCACCCCGCUCCACUGAUUAUUUAACCCAUAGCUUUAAAAAAUGUGCUUCUUCACUUCUAAACCCUUGGAUUUUUUUUCUAGGUUUCUGUUUGUAAUUGACUUCAGUUUUAAUUCUAUGGUGGUCAGAGAAAGUGGUCUAUAUAGAAUACCAGUCCUUAGAAGUUUGUUGAGAUUUGAAUUUAGUUACUCUCUGAAAUGUUUCAUGUUUUUCUAGGAAAAACACAUAUUCUGAAAUAAUUGGGUACAGUGGUAUCUAUCCCUUUAAAAAGUUAAAUAUCUUAUAUAUGAAAAAUCUUCUAAACUGUUUUCCAAAGAGUCAUCAUUUUACAUCCCACCAGCAUUGUAUGACAGUGCUAGUUGUUCCACAUCCCUUGUCAACACUUGGAAUAGUCAGUUUUUAAAUUUUUUUUUGUACCAGGGAUUGAACUCAGGGGCACUUGACCACAUGAGUUCACAAACAGUUCCACAGUGGUAAUGUUCUUUGGUCAUUGAUUGGAUCAAUGAAGUUGCUGCUGGGGCCUUACAGUAUCUGACAGAGCCUCCAUUUAGUGAGCACAUACUCUGUGCAGAGGCACUUUACAUGGUUUCUCUCAGGCCUCAUAACACCAUGAAGAGAUGGGGAAUAUAAUUCCCAUUUCCCAGCUAGGGAAACGGAGGCUCAGAGACAUGAAGCCACUUGCUUAAGCCAGGUGUGACCAGCUCCAGACUCAUGCCCUGUUGUCUAUGUUGGAGUCAAACUGAAUUGGAGGCCAUAAUUCUGCCUCAUUUUCCCCAGCAUUCCUAUUCCUGGGCUUCCUGAGAGGGUCUCAGCUGUCAGCCAGAUGGUUCUGAGGCCCAGGGCCUGCAGCUACCUCUGUAACCAGUUCCUUCCUCCUUGCAACAUGGUGAGUAGGUGAUAUAACCUCAGCAUGGAGAGGACUAUGUGUGUACACGUGUGUGUCCGUGUGUGCUGGCAACAGCAUAAAGGAAACAGCAUUAGUCUUCUCCAUUCCCACCAUCACAGCCUCAUCGACUCUUCCUUCACAUCUCUCAGGAAUGUGGACCCUUUCCACCCAGGGUACAGCACAUUUCUGAGAGGAAUCAUAAUAUCCCCCUUGUCCCUGUGCAUUGCCAGAGAGGUUUCUGGAAGCCAUUUUGGGGACUUGUCCUCAAAACACAUAAUGUCUAUAUAAUAUGGUAACAACUAGGUUAAAAAAAUCUUUUUUUUUUCCUCUUGUGUUGGAGAUCAAACCCACUGAGUAUACCUCCAGCCCCAUUAAAAAUAAGAUUGUAAAGGGGAAAAAAAAAAGCAAAGAAAUGUGGUUAUGAGUGUUUUUUUUUCCUUUAUUUUCAAAAUUUUCUGUACUGUGGCUUUCUUAUUUUUAUAAUUAAAUUUAUGAAAAAUGCAGUGGAUCGAACAAAUAAUCUGUUGCUUCUCUGUGAGAAACAAUAAUAAUACUGCAUUUCCAAGGAGGUUUUUAAAAAUUACCUUUAUAAUUAAAAUUUUGGUAGAAUCUACAUAAAAUUUACCGUCUUAAACCUUUUGAGGGUACAGUUCAUUGUCAUUAAGUACUUUCACGUGGUUGUGAAACCAUCAUCACUGUUCUUCCAGACUUUUUCAUUGUCCUAAACUGAAAUCCUAUAUCCACGGCUGUCCUUGCCCUCCUCCUUUAGCAGCCACCAUUCCGCCUCUGUGACUUUGAGCAUUUGAUACCUCUUGUAAAUGGGAUCAUACAAUUCUUGCCCUUUUGUGUGUGUGGCUUUUUUUACUUGACAUAAUGUCUUCGGAUUUUACCUUUGUCAUGGUAUAUAUUAAGGUUGGCUUCCUUCUUAAGGCUGAGUAAUAUCCCAAUUGUGUAUAUCUAUCUAUAGCUCUAUCUUUCUCUCCCUCUAUAUCUAUACCUUUACAUUACAUCUUGUUUUUCUCCAUUCAUCCAUCAAUGGCCAGUUGGGUUGUUUCUGCCUUUUGGCUAUUGUUUAAACUAAUGCUGCUAAGAAAUUGGUUUACAGAUAUUGAGUCCUUGCUUUCCAUUCUUUUGGAAUUGAAAUUCUAAAUCCCAAAUUGGAAUUCAAUUUCAAAUUCUUUUGGAAUGUGCUUAGAAGUGGAAUUGCUGCCAAGGAGCAUUCUAGAACUCAUUUCUGGAACUUUUGAUAGUUUAAAUGGUUACUGGGGAUUGAACCCAGGAGUGCUUAACCACUGAACCUCAUCCCAGCCCCUUUUAUUUUUUAUUUUUUUUAGUUGAUGGAUACUAUACCUUUAUUUUAUUUAUUUAUUUUUAUGUGGUGCUGAGGUUUGAAACCAGUGCCUCACACUUGCUAGGCAAGCACUCUGCCACUGAGCCCCAACUGCAGCCUCCCCAGCCCUUUUUAUUUAUUAUUAUUAUUUUUAUUUAUUAAUUUUUAAAGUUUUGGAUAUUUAUUUUUUAGUUGUAAAAUAAAUAUUAUUUAUUUUUAUGUGAUGCUGAGGAUCGAACCCAGGGCCUUGCACGUGCUAGGCGAGUGCUCUACCACUGAGCCACAACCCCAGCCCCCUUUAUUUUUUAUUUUGAGACAGGGUCUCACUAAUUGCUCAGGGCUUUGGUAAGUUGCUGAGGCUGGCACUGAGGUUGGUUAUCACCUCCAACAAUCUUUUACUCUGAUUCCACCUCUCCUUCCUGGAGGACCUCGAGCGACAUCAGGAGUCACUAUUGAUGAGAAGAUGGGUGAAUGUUUCUGAGAUUUUGUUUAAUCUUCAGAAAGUUAUAGUUAAUGAUUUCCACAUCAAGGGUUGCCCAGCAUACCACCAAUUUUGAAUUUAAAGCAGAGCAAAUAAAUGUGAACAAAUAAAUGUGUUUUGUUCAUAAAAAUUGUGCUUAUAAUUGUGGUAUAUAUACACAAUGGAAAGUUACUCAGCCAUAAAGAAGAAUGACUUUAUGACAUUUGCCAGUAAAUGGAUGGAUCUGGAGACUGUCAUGCUAAGUGAAAUAAGCCAGCCCCCAAAACCAAAGGUCAAAUGUUUUUGCUGAUGUGUGGAUGCUAACCCACACUAAAGUAGGGGGGGAGAGGAAGAAGAGAAGUUCAUAGAUUAGACAAAGGGGAAUGAAUGGAAGGGAGGGGGAUUAGGCAGAGGAAAGACAGUAGAAUAAAUCUAACAUAAUUUUCCUAUGUACACAUAUGAAAAUACCUAAGUAACUCCCACCGUCGUGCCUACCCACAAGAAUGAGGUCCUAAUUAGAAUAAUAUAUAUCCCAUGCUUGUAUAAUUUUAUCAAAAUACAUUCUACUGUCAUGUAUAAGUAGGAAGAACCAAUAAAAAAAUGGAAUUGAAAUACAGGGAAAAAAUCAUGUUUACUACUCAGUAAUUAUGUGAUUUUACUUAAUCAAAUAAUCUUUGCUUCAAGUGUUUCCUAGCCAAGUAUAAAAUGUCUUGAGAAGUACAAAAAUGAUAGAAGAUGUGAAAGAACUCUGAGAAACGUAGAAGAAACACCAAUGAAAGAUUGGAGAUGAAAGACUGCAAUGUGGAAGCCAAGCCAUACAUUAAGAAAGAUGGACAGACAGUGUUGGAAAAAGAACAGCAACUCCUGGGUACAAGAUGACUGUUCCCUAGAAAUGCUGGUUGGGUAAUCAGUAGUCUGACUAAUGUGGAAGAUCACAGCCCAGUAAAAAUGUGUUAUGGCUGAGUGUCUUGCAGUGCAAGCUGGUGCAAAUUAAGUGCUAAACACAUAAAAUAAAUAUAUGAAACUAGUUGUAUGUGCUGUAACUCACACUGCUGCAGGAGCU
RNAcentral lists this long non-coding RNA (19954 nucleotides) under Marmota monax (woodchuck). The record is from RNAcentral. Lineage: Eukaryota; Metazoa; Chordata; Mammalia; Rodentia; Sciuridae.